This 438-nucleotide ribosomal RNA is filed under the name uncultured bacterium. RNAcentral's name for it is "partial 16S ribosomal RNA". It matches the Rfam family "Bacterial small subunit ribosomal RNA", at positions 339 to 795 of the family's 1533-position model. The record is from RNAcentral.
CUACGGCCGCUGCAGUGGGGAAUAUUGCACAAUGGAGGAAACUCUGAUGCAGCAACGCCGCGUGGAGGAUGACACUUUUCGGAGCGUAAACUCCUUUUAUAUAGGAAGAAGAUGACGGUACUAUAUGAAUAAGCGCCGGCUAACUCCGUGCCAGCAGCCGCGGUAAUACGGAGGGCGCAAGCGUUACUCGGAAUCACUGGGCGUAAAGAGCGUGUAGGCGGAUUAAAAAGUCAGAAGUGAAAUCCUAUAGCUUAACUAUAGAACUGCUUCUGAAACUCUUAAUCUAGAAUAUGGGAGAGGUAGAUGGAAUUUCUGGUGUAGGGGUAAAAUCCGUAGAGAUCAAAAGGAAUACCGAUUGCGAAGGCGAUCUACUAGAACAUUAUUGACGCUGAGACGCGAAAGCGUGGGGAGCAAACAGGAUUAGAUACCCCCGUAGUC